Long non-coding RNA from Lotus japonicus, 1326 nucleotides. RefSeq lists it as uncharacterized. The transcript is spliced from 3 exons. The record is from RefSeq and is a predicted model, not a curated record. Lineage: Eukaryota; Viridiplantae; Streptophyta; Magnoliopsida; Fabales; Fabaceae.
AAACCUCGACUGUAACGAUCUGGGAGAGCUUUCCCAAAGGAAUUAGUUUUCUCACCCCACUAAUUAGAAAUCAGUCCCGAUAUAUACACACCUUGUACAGUAAACCACUCCAUCUCCACCUUGUACACAUAAGCUUCUAUUGAUCAUUUUCCAUGUCAUCUUACAGUUGGAUGAGAGAGGUAAAACCAAGUUGGAUGUGAGAGACGGGAAUAUUGAAAGGGGCAAACGAAAUUUUGGGUUCAAAAUAAGCCAGCAGCUUCUCUCAUCUUCACCUCUAGGGUUUUGUUACUCAGCCACCUUCUCCCCCACCAUCUUCCUCAGCCACCGUCGUCCCCCCCCCCCGCUCCCGCGCUGGUCGCUCUUCCACGUUGCCGCUGGGAUCGCUCUUCCAUGUUGCCGCUGGGAUAACCCACCGCCGGUCCUCCCUCGUCCCCACCGCCUCUCUCCCCCUCUCUCUCUCCCUGGUUCAAAACCACCCUUCUCCCCCUUGAUAAACAAGCUGUGAACCAAAUCUUUGGUUUUUCUGCAACGGGGAUCCUCAUAGUCAAAGGAAGAUGGCGAUACUUACUUUUCUUUGCCAUUUUUACGUUGGUGAAAUGUUGCAAUGCACCAAGGAUAAAAUAUUGAAAGCAUUUCAAGACAAUCGUAUACUUGAGAAGUUGGCUGCCACAAGUGAAGAGCUACAGAAUGAUGUUGUGAUGGAAGCAAUGCAAAAGGCACCAAGCGGGUCUCCCCAUUGGCACAAGCUGAAUUUUUAUGCGGAGAGAGACAUGUAAACAUCAGGUCAUACUUGCACACAAGGAGAUCAAGGAAAUGAUAUCUUUUAUUCAAGAUGAUUUGAUGAUGAUUAAGCAAGUCCUUCAACCAACUAUGCAGUCAAGCCCACAAACUAUUAAUUACACGUGUGAGGAUGAAGCAAACACAUGGUGUGAUGAUAAUCGUAGUUCGGCCAAAGAUCAUGAUCAUGAUGAAUGCCACAUUGAGGAACAAAAUCUGCAAGUAAAAUCCAACAUAUACACGCGUCUUAAGGAUGAACCAAGAAAGUGCAAUAACUAGAUUACCUUGGACUAUAUAUCAGAGAUUCAGAGGAGAUGCAACAAGGGCGAGGAGGUUAAAGCUGGAAACUUGUGACAGUUUUUGUUGUGUUCUUUUUUGAAGAGAAUGGGUCAUGUGCUAAAUAGAAAUUUUUGUUAACUAAUGGGGUAGCUUUGAUGCACUAUGUAGAUGCACCAUCUAUGGUGGUUUUGUUAUGUUAAUUGAAUGUAGGAAUCCUAUUCUUGUGUUUAUGCUAUAAUGCAUUUUUAAAAUGGACUUGAACUUAUAUAA